RNAcentral lists this long non-coding RNA (654 nucleotides) under Microcebus murinus (gray mouse lemur). RNAcentral's name for it is "lncRNA (ENSMICG00000048405.1)". The record is from RNAcentral. Lineage: Eukaryota; Metazoa; Chordata; Mammalia; Primates; Cheirogaleidae.
UUUCAGCUAUUUUAGAACUAAUAAACAAUUGUCAAUGUCAUGGCCAACACGGAGCAGAAGCCGCGGCACUUACGGAAGAUCAAAGGCAGGAGACGAGCUCUUCUUUGGGAAGAGGACGGGAGAGAGACCGUCCUCCUCCCUACGUGGUCUCGGGCUCCAGCCCAGGUGGCAGCCGCCGAUUCCUCCUUCUGUGGACCCCACCUGAGGGGCAGGGACUUGUGCGUGUGGGGCUGCACCCAGGUGUCCUGUCGCCACACUUGCGGCUGUCUGGCAGGUCCCCAACACUGUGUUUUUGCCUCAAAGAGCACCCACUGCGUGCUGAGCACCCUGAUGAAUUUCUUGGGGUCGGUAAGGGGGAUCCCCUUGAAUCCAGGGGGGCUGUCACCUGCCUCCUGCACGAGGAGCUUGUCUGAGCCCUGCCUCCUUGCAGCCCGUCCCAGCACUCCAGCGAGGGGUCCCGUGGGAGGGAGCCCUGGGCCCUCGUUCCCCCGGUCCCCCGUGGCUCCAGCUUCACUGGAGGAGAAGCCGCAGCCUUCGGGAGGCCAACGCGGCCCCCCAGUCUAUUCCCGAGGGCCACGUCCCAAGAGGUCUCUCUGAGCCGUCUUAGCUGCCCCUCAGGGCCAGCACUCUUGCCAAACCCAUUUUACAGGUGAG